GACGAACGCUGGCGGCGUGCUUAACACAUGCAAGUCGAGCGGAAAGGCCCUUCGGGGUACUCGAGCGGCGAACGGGUGAGUAACACGUGAGUAACCUGCCCCAGACUUUGGGAUAACCCUCGGAAACGGGGGCUAAUACCGGAUACGACACAGCUUCGCAUGGGGUCUGUGUGGAAAGUUUUUCGGUUUGGGAUGGGCUCGCGGCCUAUCAGCUUGUUGGUGGGGUGAUGGCCUACCAAGGCGACGACGGGUAGCCGGCCUGAGAGGGCGACCGGCCACACUGGGACUGAGACACGGCCCAGACUCCUACGGGAGGCAGCAGUGGGGAAUAUUGCACAAUGGGCGGAAGCCUGAUGCAGCGACGCCGCGUGAGGGAUGACGGCCUUCGGGUUGUAAAUCUCUUUCAGCAGGGACGAAGCGUAAGUGACGGUACCUGCAGAAGAAGCGCCGGCCAACUACGUG
This 462-nucleotide ribosomal RNA is filed under the name uncultured bacterium. RNAcentral describes it as "partial 16S ribosomal RNA". It matches the Rfam family "Bacterial small subunit ribosomal RNA", at positions 28 to 507 of the family's 1533-position model. The record is from RNAcentral.